Chinchilla lanigera (long-tailed chinchilla) is the source of this 1924-nucleotide long non-coding RNA. RefSeq lists it as uncharacterized. NCBI's taxonomy places the organism in Eukaryota, Metazoa, Chordata, Mammalia, Rodentia, Chinchillidae. The transcript is spliced from 3 exons. The record is from RefSeq and is a predicted model, not a curated record.
GAACUGAGUCAUUUCCUUUCCUCCAUUUAACUCUAAAUAGUACCUAACGCUUAUUUCUCUUUCCAUUUUCCCAAGGGAAAUAAAACACAAAAUAAAAUCCUCGGAGAUCAUGGAUGCCUUAGCAUAACCGUAGCCAACUGUGCUGGGGGAAUACAGGGAGCAACCUUUGUGUUCGUCCACUUGGUAUAAUGAACAGCAAGGUGUAUGCCUGUGCGUCAAAGUAUAAACAGGGUUUGCCCAAUCCAGUACAAGUUGCAUGAAAAUCCACUUGUUCAACUUUGGAAAGAGGUUGGAAUCAGGUUAUUCAUCCACGCGUGAUGACUCGUGUUGUGUAAGGUGAAAACGUUAGCAGGAUAUGACAGACGGAGACAUACAGAAUGAAGACCUUGAUUCAGAUGAGGAAGACAACAGCAAUGUAAAUGAAUAUUUGAUGAGUCAAAUGCUACAGAAUGCUCCUGUAUUCCUGAAAGAGACGAUGUUAGAACUAGGUCAGAAAAUGUUACUAGAUUCUCACCAUGGGUCAAACCUAUUGGGUGGAAUGCCAGCACUGUGACUCCAGGUUGGAAAUUGUUUGUAAUGGACAAUAUGCUACAAAUUGUUUAGAAAUAUAGUAAUAAUGCAAUACAAGUAAAACAUUCCAUUUGCAUCAAAGUAAUACUCAAAAUGUAUUUAUCAUGACACCUCGCUACCUGAACUAGAAGCCUUCAUAGUGGACUGUCAUUCUGAUCAUCAGAAUCUAAAGAAUUUAUGGAGAAGUGACAGAUGUGACAUUGAGAAUUUUAGAACAAUAACACUCAAGAGAUUUGGUUUCCUUCAAAAUUGCCUAUGUUUUGAUGAUGAAAAGACCUGUCAAGAAAGAAAAAAUCCAACAAUUUAGCUGCUAUUCACUCAUGUUUGAAAGCCUUGUUUUGAACUCUCAAGCAAUUUAUACACCACCCAAACGCAUGACAAUUGAGGAACAACUUCCAUCAUAUCAUGGUUACUGAAGCUUUCAAUGACGUGUGCCAAACUAACCUUUUAGAUAUGAUAUAAAAAUAUGUGACCUACUGGAUGCAAAGACAUUUUACACCUUGAAUUUAGAAAUUUAUCGUGGAACUCAGCCAUCAGGUCUUUAUUUAUGCAGCAAUAAACCACAUGACAUUGUGGACAGACUUGUUGCACUAAUUUCAAAAGGUAACCCAAAUGUCGCAUUUGACAGCUGGCUCACUAGUUACCCACUGAUGUUUCAUUGCUAAAAGAACACACCAGAAACAUUUACAAUAACAAAGCAGAGAUUCUUGAAAAAAUAUCACAGGUUCUCAAUAGAGAAAUGUAUAGUACAGUCUUUGGAUUUCAGAAAGACAUACAUUAGCCUCCUAUACGGUGAAUAAAAACAAAAUUGUAUUGAUAUUGUCAACAUCAUACUAUGAUAAGAUUGAUAGUGAAGCCAGGCAUAGGGGUACAUGCCUGUAAUUUCAGUGCUUGGGAAGCUGACAUGGGAGGAUUUUGUGAGUUCAAGUUUGGCCUGAGCUACAUAGUGUCUCAAGAGAAAUGAACAAAAAUUGAUAGUGAAUCCUUAACACAAACGAAGCCCGAAAUGGUCAUAUUUUACAACAAAAUGGAAGGCAAGGUAGAUGUUGUUGACAAGUUAUGUAGCAACCAUGAUGUCACUCAAAACAGUGCUUUAGCCAAAGGUUGUGUUUUACUCAAUAUUAAACAUGUCAGGCGUAGGUUCAUACUGACAAAGAAAACAAUCAGCACAAGCUAUCAAGGAGAACUUUUCUUAGAGGACUGGACUAGAACUGAUAAAUAAUGAGUUACAACAGAGGAAAGGCAGUAUGUAUCUGGCCCAAGAACUCUGCAAAAGAAUUCAGGAGCAGACCAGAGAAUAGACAGGUGAAUCACAAGAACCUCCUAAGAAAACAGGAAGACCAGCAAGACCUUA